GAGAAGAACGUAGCGAAAUGCGAUAAGUAAUGUGAAUUGCAGAAUUCAGUGAAUCAUCGAAUCUUUGAACGCACCUUGCGCUCUUUGGUAUUCCGAAGAGCAUGCCUGUUUGAGUGUCAUGAAAAUAUCAACCUUGACUUGGGUUUUGUGCUCUAGUCUCGGCUUGGAAUUGGUGCUUGCCGCUUUUACGAGCGGCUCACCUUAAAUGUAUUAGCUGGAUCUGUCUUUGAGACUUGGUUUGACUUGGCGUAAUAAGUAUUUCGCUAAGGACAUUCUUCGGAGUGGCCUCGUUUCUAGGACGCUUGUCCGCUUUCCAAUACAAGUUCCACCUCGUGGACAUGACUUUUUAUUAUCUGGCCUCAAAUCAGGUAGGACUACCCGCUGAACUUAAGCAUAUCAAUAAGCGGAGGA
Molecule: unclassified non-coding RNA, 411 nt
Filed under: soil metagenome
Description: partial contains 5.8S ribosomal RNA, internal transcribed spacer 2, and large subunit ribosomal RNA
Rfam family: 5.8S ribosomal RNA (bases 3-119)
Source: RNAcentral